RNAcentral lists this ribosomal RNA (462 nucleotides) under Staphylococcus aureus. RNAcentral describes it as "partial 23S ribosomal RNA". It matches the Rfam family "Bacterial large subunit ribosomal RNA", at positions 1139 to 1600 of the family's 2925-position model. Lineage: Bacteria; Bacillati; Bacillota; Bacilli; Caryophanales; Staphylococcaceae. The record is from RNAcentral.
AGCUCACUAGUCGAGUGACACUGCGCCGAAAAUGUACCGGGGCUAAACAUAUUACCGAAGCUGUGGAUUGUCCUUUGGACAAUGGUAGGAGAGCGUUCUAAGGGCGUUGAAGCAUGAUCGUAAGGACAUGUGGAGCGCUUAGAAGUGAGAAUGCCGGUGUGAGUAGCGAAAGACGGGUGAGAAUCCCGUCCACCGAUUGACUAAGGUUUCCAGAGGAAGGCUCGUCCGCUCUGGGUUAGUCGGGUCCUAAGCUGAGGCCGACAGGCGUAGGCGAUGGAUAACAGGUUGAUAUUCCUGUACCACCUAUAAUCGUUUUAAUCGAUGGGGGGACGCAGUAGGAUAGGCGAAGCGUGCGAUUGGAUUGCACGUCUAAGCAGUAAGGCUGAGUAUUAGGCAAAUCCGGUACUCGUUAAGGCUGAGCUGUGAUGGGGAGAAGACAUUGAGUCUUCGAGUCGUUGAUUU